Long non-coding RNA from Gossypium arboreum, 941 nucleotides. RefSeq lists it as uncharacterized. The transcript is spliced from 2 exons. NCBI's taxonomy places the organism in Eukaryota, Viridiplantae, Streptophyta, Magnoliopsida, Malvales, Malvaceae. The record is from RefSeq and is a predicted model, not a curated record.
ACUGAAGCGCAAUGCGCUCCAAUGCUCAGGGAUCUAAAUUGGCAAUAUACUAGACCCAAAACGUAGAGCUUAGGCGUGGACCUGACUGCAAACAUGCGCAAGUUACAGGGAUAGUUUAAAAGAACAAAGAAAUACAAAUGUAAACUGAUUGAAAGGUAGCGCAAAAGAGGAAGGGCUUAGCGAGCAAUUAACCCUUUCAUACAAAGAAGUGCAGAUCCGUUUCCCUUUGAAACGAUGCCAUUUCACUUGAAAUUAAAAAAAACAAAAACAAAAAACAAUUGGAUUCUACCAUUUUCUUUACUAAAGUAUAUACCAGACCCCCCUUUUUCCCCUACCCUUCACCUUGGCUGACUCUUAGGCUUCACCGGCGCAUAAUAUGCCUCCACCACCGCCGAGGCUUUCACCGGAUCCGCAAGGGUCCGUCGACUUCAGACCGGAGAAGCGGGCUUUGGCUAAAUCAACACUGAACAAACCGAAGCAGCCGAAGCAUUACAAAAUGUUCGUUUAGUUUUUUAUAGGCAUAUUACAACCGUAUAUUUUCUAUUAUUUUUCUCUUUUAUUGUCUGUUUCUGCGUUGUUUUCUUCUGUCUCUGUUGCGUGUUUCUUUUGCUUUGCAGGUGUCAGAGGGUUGGUGGUACGGGCGACGAUCGGCGGUAGUAGAGGCGGUGGUAGCGUGUGGCGGCUGGCUUAGCUAGCUUUAGGGUAUCUGUUCGGCUUUAGUUCUUGGGCUAGUGUGCUAGUUUUUUGUUUGGGCUGUUGGUUUAAUUUGUUUUUGGGUGUAAUAGGGUGUAUUGGGUUUGGGUCUGGUAUUGGUUCAUUGGGUUCGGUCUAAUUUGGCAUUUACACCAUGAUUUAAGUUCUGCAUAAAAGAAUAGAAGAAAAUAGUAAAGCACUUUCGUUUUAGAAAAAAUAAUUUGAGUUAUGAAAUUGUUGUUUAACAA